AAAUUAUGCAAACACAAAAUUCAAUUGUAAAUGAUUUUUUUCCAAACUAAUCCAACUUGAAAUAUGUGUGUUUUGGUUGCUGGGGCGCAAUAAUCAUAGACAUCAUUGAAAAUGUUGUGAUUUGUAAUCGACCAAUAUCAUCCAUAGAACCUGUCUUAUCAAACAAAGUAUUCAAUUUCAUCAAU
This 185-nucleotide unclassified non-coding RNA is filed under the name Dermatophagoides pteronyssinus (European house dust mite). RNAcentral describes it as "uncharacterized LOC113794024, transcript variant X1". The record is from RNAcentral. Lineage: Eukaryota; Metazoa; Arthropoda; Arachnida; Sarcoptiformes; Pyroglyphidae.